AUGGAGGCCCAGCUGAGCACAUUGAGCUGUGUGGUACUCUCACCCAUCUCGUUCGUCUCCUCAUGAAGCUGUUUCAGCACUCCCAACUGGCCAUCACCCUCGAGAACCCGACAUCAAGUACCCUCUGUUGCUCAUCAACAAGGAGAUCAUCAGUCAUGACACGUGACGCUUCCAAUUUUCCCCCCCAUUCCCCCCAGCAUAUCCUGGGCCUUCCUAUCAGCCAACACAUCUACCUUCCAACUAGGAGACUAGGAUCGAUGGCAACUUGGUCAUUCGGCCCUACACACUUGUGUCUAGCAAUAAUGACAAGGGCUUUGUGAACUUAGUGGUCAAGGUUUACUUCAAGGACACCCAUCCUAAGUUUCCAGCUGGAGGGAAAAUGUCUUAGUACCUGGAAAACAUGAAUAUUGGAGACACCAUUGAGUUCCAGGGGCCCAAUGGGCUACUGAACUACCAGGGCAAAGGGAAGUUCGCCCUCCAUGCAGACAAGAAGUCCAACCCUGUUGUCAGGAUGGUGAAGUCUGUAGGGAUGAUUGCAGGAGGGACAGGCAUCACCCCAAUGCUGCAGGUGAUCUGAGCCAUAAUGAAGGACUCAAAUGACCACACUGUGUGCUAUUUGCUCUUUGCCAACCAGUCCGAGAAAGAUACCCAGUUGCAGCCUGAGUGGAGGAACUGAGGAGUGAACAUUCUGCUCACUUCAAGCUCUGCUAUACAGUGGACAAAGACCCCAAAGCCUGGGACGAUAGCCAGGGCUUCGUGAAUGAGGAGAUGAUCAGGAACCACCUUCUACCUCCUGGGGAAGAGCCGCUGAUACUGAUGUGUGGAUCUCCACCAAUGAUCCAGUUUGCUUGUUUGCCAAACCUGGAGCAUGUGGGCCACCCCAAGGAGUGAUGCUCCACUUUCUGAUGGCUGGAUGCUGGGCAU
This is an RNA transcript of Mastomys coucha (southern multimammate mouse), 924 nucleotides long. It is a transcript of the gene named NADH-cytochrome b5 reductase 3 pseudogene, with no coding region annotated. The record is from RefSeq and is a predicted model, not a curated record. Lineage: Eukaryota; Metazoa; Chordata; Mammalia; Rodentia; Muridae. The transcript has a single exon.